UCUAAUACUUCAUAAUAUCCAUCUCGUAUGGAUUAAAGCUUAUGCGCUUUGGAGGGGCCUGCGUAACAUUAGCUGUUGGUGAGGUAAAAGGACUCACCAAGGCUUCGAUGUUUAACUGGUUUGAGAGGAUGACCAGUCACACUGGGACUGAGAUACGGCCCAGACUCCUACGGGAGGCAGCAGUAAGGAAUCUUCCACAAUGGGGGCAACCCCGAUGGAGCAAUACCGCGUACAGGAUGAAGCGUUUCGGCGUGUAAACUGCUUUUAUCACCGAAGAUUAUGACUGUAGGUGAAGAAUAAGGACCGGCUAACUACGUG
Molecule: ribosomal RNA, 318 nt
Filed under: uncultured bacterium
Lineage: Bacteria
Description: bacterial SSU rRNA
Rfam family: Bacterial small subunit ribosomal RNA
Source: RNAcentral